CCAUCUCAGUUCGGAUUGUGGUCUGCAACCCGACUACAUGAAGCUGGAAUCGCUAGUAAUCGCGAAUCAGAAUGUCGCGGUGAAUACGUUCCCGGGCCUUGUACACACCGCCCGUCACACCAUGGGAGUCGGAAAUGCCCGAAGUCAGUGACCCAACCUUAGGGAGGGAGCAGCCGAAGGCAGGUCGGAUGACUGGGGUGAAGUCGUAACAAGGUAAC
RNAcentral lists this ribosomal RNA (218 nucleotides) under uncultured bacterium. RNAcentral describes it as "partial 16S ribosomal RNA". It matches the Rfam family "Bacterial small subunit ribosomal RNA", at positions 1283 to 1500 of the family's 1533-position model. The record is from RNAcentral.